GUUAAACAAUACUAAAACUAAUUUCUCAAAUGCUUCAAGUUGAAACGAUUUCUCAAAUACUUCAACUCAACCCUAACCUAACAAACGUUUGGAGUUUUCUCGAACAAAGCCUUCGUAACAGAGAAAUUGCAAAAUCGGUCGAGCAUCGGUCACGUUUGGAGUUGAUGAAGCCUUCACCCGUUCCACCAGGACCAAUCUUAUUCACAAUGAUCUGAACUCUCACAAUCGCAACCACAGAACGAAUCUCCGAACCCUAGCUUGUACCUUUUUCCCCUUUCAACUCAAUUAUAAGAAGGAAAUGGGAUUCUCUUAUUUCUUGGUUGAUGUUGCUGUUACAGAGUUGAAAAUGGAGUCGAGGUGCUAUACGAUUGUGUUGUGUCUACCUCUACGUCAAUCCGGUGACGUAAAAUUUGGCUACUUUGAUCCGGUGAAUUUUUCGAUCUAUGUGAAAAGUGCGGGUGAAUCGCUGCUAAUUUGAGCCUUUAACUCCGGGAGAAAUCAAGCCUGGUCCAUAUAUUUUCUUUCUUGGUAAGAAUUUUGAAUUCUCGUGUGACAAUUUCCAUUUCAUCUUGACUGGUUUUAUUGAUUGGUUAAUAAUACACAUCAUUAGAAAGCAACACCAAAAUUACAAAGGGGUCACUGGCUUGUAUUUGCAUUGUUGACAUAUACUGCCAUUCACUCCAUGUUUGAUGUUAUGUCAUCAUUAGUCAGGAUUUUGUCAUAUUCUCAAACUGACUCCAGGUUAGCCCAUUUUCACUACUAAAACUAAGGAUUGGCCUAUGGGUGAGGCACAUAAAAACAAUCAUUUGCUAUUAACUCUGAAAAAGAUAAAAAAAAAAACCACACCUGUUGGAAAAAGAUCUAAAGCUAAAACACAUUGGUAUUUAUAAAACAAAAUUGACACAAAUGCUGUCGAAAAGACACACUCGUCCAUAACUUGUUUUAUUAGCCUCACUCACUCUUGGGUCAGCUCUAAAAGAUUCAUUUCUUAAUGAGCUAUUGAAGUAGAAUUACCAGGCUGCGUAAAAGAUCCAAACUCAAAGGUAUUAUUGCAAUCGAAAAGCAUCUUCAUAAUUUAUUGGAUUAUGGUUUUGGUCAGUCAUUUGUAUAUAUCCAUGCUCCAAAACACCGUUUGACAAUGAUAUACAUGCAACAUUUGUAAACCAUAUUUUUGUCCAGGUCUCACUUUCUCCCACUCAAAGGCGACAAGCUUGAAGUAGCUACUAGACGAGCUUCGUUCCCCGUUUUUCCGCUUUUUAAU
Molecule: long non-coding RNA, 1261 nt
Organism: Vicia villosa (hairy vetch)
Lineage: Eukaryota; Viridiplantae; Streptophyta; Magnoliopsida; Fabales; Fabaceae
Exons: 4
Source: RefSeq, a predicted model, not a curated record